CAACAUUAGGUCUUGGGUCCGGUAAUUUAUAAUUUCACUCUACCUAAGGCUACCAAAGUUUAGAGGCACGUACUUUCACUCCUCGGUCGCUCUUUCUUUCUUUUUUACUUUGUUUCUAACUACUGUAAGGACAGGUGUGAGUUAAUUUCCACCCUUUUUCUUUCUGAGAAUAAGUUAAUUUCCACGGUGUUUUUAGAGGCGUUAAUUUCCAGUUUUUUUUUAGCAGAGUUAAUUUACACAGUUAGGCAGACCCUAGAAUUUCUCGGCUCACUUGCGAUGGUUCAGCCCAGUUAGGAAGCCCAAAUCCUCCU
Molecule: long non-coding RNA, 311 nt
Filed under: Brachypodium distachyon (stiff brome)
Lineage: Eukaryota; Viridiplantae; Streptophyta; Magnoliopsida; Poales; Poaceae
Description: long non-coding RNA (BDIS_LNC001078)
Source: RNAcentral